RNAcentral lists this ribosomal RNA (199 nucleotides) under uncultured bacterium. Its description in RNAcentral is "partial 16S ribosomal RNA". It matches the Rfam family "Bacterial small subunit ribosomal RNA", at positions 1302 to 1500 of the family's 1533-position model. The record is from RNAcentral.
AGGCUGCAACUCGCCUACACGAAGCUGGAAUCGCUAGUAAUCGCGGAUCAGCACGCCGCGGUGAAUACGUUCCCAGGUCUUGUACACACCGCCCGUCACACCAUGGGAGUCGGAAAUGCCCGAAGUCAGUGACCCAACCGUAAGGAGGGAGCUGCCGAAGGUGGAGCCGGUAACUGGGGUGAAGUCGUAACAAGGUAGC